GGUUUAUGGCGGGGAACGCAGGGUUUCAGCCUUAAGAAGUUUGUUUCCCCUGAUGGAAGAUAAAAAGAGCCUUGCUUCUUCUGAGGAAAGAGCUCUUAUCAAAGGAAAGGCUUCAUUAUUGGCUGCAGUUGAUUAUUAUGUUGGCAUGCACAGUGAUAUUUUUGUUUCCGCCUCCCCUGGAAAUAUGCACAAUGCAAUGGUAAUCAUUCAAAUCUUUUCAUUUUCUAGUUUCACUGUGCUUGCUAUACCUCCCUUUAGAAUCUACUCCAUUAGUUGUUAGUCAUUUCUUCCAAACGUGUUAAUAGUAGAUUUAAGUUAUAUACACUGAUAGAAUAUAGUUUAACUUGUGAUCACAGGUUAGUUACAAUUACCGGAUUACUCCCUCUCUGUUGUGCCUUAUGUGACAUUCUUUCCUUUUAGUUCUUUUUGGUCUGACAAGCUAAGAAUGACACCUUUCUAAUCAAUAAAAACAUUUUAAUCUUGAACAUGCCAAUUAAACCUUAAAGUCAUGGUUUUAUAGUCACAGAAAUGUAAUGACAUUUGAAUCACUAGCAUCAAAAGUCUGUCAUUCUUUCUGUCUACUCGAAGACUUCACGUAAAAUGGAACGUUCCACUCCAAGUGCAUCACAUUAAGUGAGACAGACGGCAAAGAGUUACCCUAAGUGAUUUGUUGAUGUUACGGUUCCUUGCAUGUAUGCUCUGCACUGCUUACCUAUUAGUUGUCUUUUUUUUUUUUCACUGUCGUUUUUCCUUUCUGUUACUACCUUGAUUUGCUUCACUCCACGAGGUAGGAGUAAGGUAAUGCAUACACUGGGGAUGUUGUUGAUUUUGGCCGAGUGAAUAGUUCUUACACGGUCAAUGCACAGAACACAGACGCCGCAUUAUUAGGCUGACUAAAUGUGGUCCACACAGCAAAUGAAUAAUACACCUACCUUGAAAUUGACAGGUCGGACAGAGAACAUACAACAAUAUGAAGACAAUAAGGCCAAAUAUGGCAUUGUUAGGCCAGCUUUUCUUGAACAAGACACUCACUUGGCCUGAGUUUCAAGAAUCAGUAAUUGAAGGGCACCAAAACAGACAAGGCCAAAUCAGACUCCGC
Molecule: long non-coding RNA, 1099 nt
Filed under: Solanum lycopersicum (tomato)
Lineage: Eukaryota; Viridiplantae; Streptophyta; Magnoliopsida; Solanales; Solanaceae
Description: long non-coding RNA (SLYC_LNC000866)
Source: RNAcentral